GGGAAACUGCCCGAUGGAGGGGGAUAACUACUGGAAACGGUAGCUAAUACCGCAUAACGUCGCAAGACCAAAGUGGGGGACCUUCGGGCCUCACACCAUCGGAUGUGCCCAGAUGGGAUUAGCUAGUAGAUGGGGUAAUGGCUCACCUAGGCGACGAUCCCUAGCUGGUCUGAGAGGAUGACCAGCCACACUGGAACUGAGACACGGUCCAGACUCCUACGGGAGGCAGCAGUGGGGAAUAUUGCACAAUGGGCGCAAGCCUGAUGCAGCCAUGCCGCGUGUAUGAAGAAGGCCUUCGGGUUGUAAAGUACUUUCAGCGGGGAGGAAGGCGGUGAAGUUAAUAGCUACACCGAUUGACGUUACCCGCAGAAGAAGCACCGGCUAACUCCGUGCCAGCAGCCGCGGUAAUACGGAGGGUGCAAGCGUUAAUCGGAAUUACUGGGCGUAAAGCGCACGCAGGCGGUCUGUCAAGUCGGAUGUGAAAUCCCCGGGCUUAACCUGGGAACUGCAUUCGAAACUGGCAGGCUAGAGUCUUGUAGAGGGGGGUAGAAUUCCAGGU
RNAcentral lists this ribosomal RNA (559 nucleotides) under uncultured bacterium. RNAcentral describes it as "bacterial SSU rRNA". It matches the Rfam family "Bacterial small subunit ribosomal RNA", at positions 120 to 674 of the family's 1533-position model. The record is from RNAcentral.